This 1420-nucleotide ribosomal RNA is filed under the name uncultured bacterium. Its description in RNAcentral is "bacterial SSU rRNA". It matches the Rfam family "Bacterial small subunit ribosomal RNA". The record is from RNAcentral.
GAUAAACGCUGGCGGCGUGCCUAACACAUGCAAGUCGGACGAAGCAGUAGCAAUACUGACUGAGUGGCGGAAGGGUGCGUAACACGUAGGUGACCUACCUCAUCCCAGGGAACAACCAGUCGAAAGACUGGCUAAUACCCAAAAGGCUCGGUGAUUCAUUUUGUCGAGCAGAGUCGCAAGGCGGGAUGAGAGGGGCCUGCGGCCCAUCAGCUAGUUGGUAGGGUAACGGCCUACCAAGGCAACGACGGGUAGGGGGUCUGAGAGGACGUCCCCCCACACUGGAACUGAAACACGGUCCAGACGCCUACGGGUGGCAGCAGUGAGGAAUAUUGGUCAAUGGGCGAAAGCCCGAACCAGCAACGCCGCGUGGAGGAUGAAGGCCUUCGGGUUGUAAACUUCUUUUAGGGGAGACGAGCAAGGACGGUAUCCCCGGAAUAAGCCACGGCAAACUACGUGCCAGCAGCCGCGGUAAUACGUAGGUGGCGAGCGUUAUCCGGAUUCACUGGGCGUAAAGCGCUUGUAGGUGGUUCUGUAAGUUGGGUGUGAAAUCUUCGGGCUUAACUCGGAGUGGCCGCUCAAUACUGCAGGACUUGAGGAUGUCAGAGGGAGAUGGAAUUCCUGGUGUAGUGGUGAAAUGCGUAGAUAUCAGGAGGAACACCCGUGGCGAAGGCGGUCUCCUGGGGCACUCCUGACACUGAGAAGCGACAGCUAGGGGAGCGAACGGGAUUAGAAACCCCGGUAGUCCUAGCCGUAAACGAUGGAUGCUGGGUGCUGGCAGAUCUAACCCUGUCUGUGCCGAAGCUAACGCGUUAAGCAUCCCGCCUGGGGACUACGAUCGCAAGAUUAAAACUCAAAGGAAUUGACGGGGACCCGCACAAGCAGCGGAGCGUGUGGUUUAAUUCGAUGCUACACGAAGAACCUUACCCGGGUUUGACAUAUAGGUAGUAGUGAACCGAAAGGGGAACGACCCGCAAGGGAGCCUGUACAGGUGUUGCAUGGCUGUCGUCAGCUCGUGUCGUGAGAUGUUCGUUUAAGUACGCUAACGAGCGCAACCCUUACUGCCAGUUACACGUGUCUGGCGGGACUGCCGGCCACAAGCCGGAGGAAGGCGAGGACGACGUCAAGUCAGCAUGGCCUUUAUAUCCGGGGCUACACACACGCUACAAUGGGUAGGUACAAUGGGUCGCCAAGCCGCGAGGCGGAGCCAAUCCCAAAAAACUAUCCUCAGUUCAGAUUGCAGGCUGCAACCCGCCUGCAUGAAGUCGGAGUUGCUAGUAAACGCGCGUCAGCUAUAGUGCGUUGAAUACGUUCCCGGGUCUUGUACACACCGCCCGUCACACUAUGGGAGCUGGCAAUACCUGAAGCCGGUAGCCCAACCGCAAGGAAGGCGCCGUCAAAGGUAGGGUUGGUGACUGGAGUG